Molecule: transfer RNA, 64 nt
Filed under: Libiocoris heissi
Lineage: Eukaryota; Metazoa; Arthropoda; Insecta; Hemiptera; Aradidae
Description: tRNA-Pro
Source: RNAcentral
CAGUAGGUAGUUAAAUAAAGAAUCCUAAUUUUGGGGAUUAGAGGUGGAUAUCAUUCCUUACUGA